CACCAGGUCAGGACACGGUAAGGAUUGACGGACUGAAGGCUCUUUCUCGAUUCCGUGGAAAGUGGUGCAUGGCCGUUUUGGUUGGUGGAUCGAUCCGUCUGGUUAAUUCCGUUAACGAACGAGACCUCGGCACUCCGAAUAGCGCGGCGGACGUCGCGGCCUCCGGGCCGUCUUCCGCACGAGCUUCUUAGAGGGGACCGUCCCCCGCCGGGGAAGGAGGUGCGAGGCAACGACAGGUCUGUGAUGCCCUUAGAUGUUCUGGGCCGCACGCGCAUUACACUGACGCGUCCAACGGGUGACUCCCGACCCGAAGGGGCCGGGGAAUCCGCAAGGCGCGUCGUGAUGGGGAUUGAACGUUGCAAUUGUUGUUCACGAACGAGGAAUUCCUAGUAGGCGCGGGUCAUCAACCCGCGCCGAUUACGUCCCUG
RNAcentral lists this ribosomal RNA (428 nucleotides) under uncultured eukaryote. Its description in RNAcentral is "bacterial SSU rRNA". It matches the Rfam family "Eukaryotic small subunit ribosomal RNA", at positions 1216 to 1655 of the family's 1831-position model. The record is from RNAcentral.